UACAGAGGCCUCAAGCGUUACCCGGAAUUACUGGGCGUAAAGGGUGUGUAGACGGUUUUAUUAGUCUUUUGUCAAAGCCUUCCGGCUUAACCGGAAGAUCGCAAAGGAAACGGUAAAACUGGAGGGUGGGAGAGGCGUGCGGAACUCUAGGUGUAGGGGUGAAAUCCGUCGAUAUCUAGGGGAACACCAAAUGCGAAGGCAGCACGCUGGCCCAUUCCUGACGCUGAGACACGAAAGCGUGGGUAGCGAACGGG
Molecule: unclassified non-coding RNA, 254 nt
Filed under: uncultured Parcubacteria group bacterium
Lineage: Bacteria
Description: contains 16S-23S intergenic spacer region
Rfam family: Bacterial small subunit ribosomal RNA
Source: RNAcentral